GACGAGUUACUGCAAUAAAACGAACUAAGAAAAAAGAAGAAGAGUUUGAACCAAAAGACAAUGUCCGGAUUACACCCUGAAAUAACCCGGACAAGCAGAAAUUACAACAAAAUAAACCACCCAAAACUCCUCCCUGGCUAGCCAAGAAAGGAGUGUCUUUCCAAUCAGCAAGCUGGACGUCUUAACCACUAUACUGCACAUCAAAAUUAUUGGGACCUUCACCAGUUUCAAUAUCAUUAACUCCAGUCAGCAAGUUCCCAAGAGGAUUAUCAUACUCCAUGUUACCAUGCAUCAUCCCCACAACGUGUGCAUCAUCAAGUAC
This 322-nucleotide long non-coding RNA is filed under the name Nicotiana benthamiana. Its description in RNAcentral is "long non-coding RNA (NBEN_LNC033983)". The record is from RNAcentral. Lineage: Eukaryota; Viridiplantae; Streptophyta; Magnoliopsida; Solanales; Solanaceae.